AAAAAGGUCAAGUUGUUUUUUUUUUUUUUUGUUUUGUUUUGUUUUUAACAGAGUAUAUUGAAUUAAGUGAAAAAAGGCUAUCAGCAGUAGAGGAAGAAUGACCACAGGGUCCAGGACUGAACAGAGAGCCUCCUGCAGACAGAUGCAGCCCACGGAACCAGUUCCCCCUUUGCAUGGGCAUGGGCCCCCAGAUACUCAGUUUAGUUGAAUACCAGGGUUUCCUUGCAUAGGUAAAAAACUUAGUUCAUUAAACGUGUACUGAAUUAACAUAUAAAUGUUUAGGUCCAAUGCAGGAGAGUUUCUUUUUACAAAACAUGGGAUAUUUACAAACAAAAUUAGUCAACUCAGAGUGGCUUGACCUUGGGCCACAUUGGUACUUCCUAACUACCCCAAUCCAUGCCCUUAUGCAUGACCCAGAAUGCUUAUUUAAAAAAAAAAAAAAAAAAAUCUGGCUCUCUCCCAGGCCUACUGAACUGAGAUUUCAGACCUAGAAAUUUCUGUAAGGCUCCCAGAUGACUUCUGAGAUUGGACAUGUUUCGAGAGUCUGAGGAAUGAAGAAUUAGCUAGAUCUGCCUAGGGCCUCCAUGGUCACAGCCACCAACAAAGUGUCUUCACACUGACUUGGUACUGACCUGUACCAAUAAGUCACCUAAUUCAUAAUUUCUCUGUGACCUACCAUGUGUCCUGGCAGAGAAGGAUUGGGUUUACCAUGUCUUAGUGUAGGAAAUUGCAUUGUGAACUAUAGAGAGAAGCCGGUAACCAGCAGAGGGAAUGUGGCAGAGCUUUCGAGGGGACCUUAAGCACACAUCCUUAAAUUCCUCCCUCUUCCUUCUCUAUCCAUUCUCUUUGCUGCACCCUCUUUGCCUCCUGUCUGCUGCCCUUUUCUGUUCCUCUUCUCUCUCCUCCAAGUAGGAAUAUGAGCUGUUUAAAUUUAUCUAUUGAGUCCUACACACUGGCAAUCCUUAUUUCCAAGACUGUUGAGGAGAGCAUACAGUUAGGCUACUGGCUGGCUGUCCUCAAACCUAUUCCACAUGUGUACCCCAAGUAUAGGAACAGUACUCUGGGACAAAGAAAAUGACUCCAGUAUAAUGGAUUGGAAGGCAGUUUCUUAGGAGUAAUAGAAAAGUUCAGAGCUUGAUGACUGGCUUAGCAGCAGCUGAUGUAGAUCACCAGAGCACCCUCCUGCUCUGUGACCAAUUUUUCCCAAUAGCACAGGAAAUCACACUAUGAGUUCUGAAUUCAUCAUGACCCUAACAUUUGUGAAGCUAAGUUACAUCUUUCUCCUGGCUCACUUCUUCAUAAAUAGGAGACUUAGGAUGCUGCUGAAUACCUGAGCCUUGUUAGGGUCAUCAUCCAGCACAGUAGCAUCUGUUGAGAAUUAGUGGCCAAGAAGCGGAGCAUGAGAGGGCCUUGGCUCUUGAGCAGUGGAGUCAUUGGAGGAAAAGCAAGCAGUCCCCACCAAAACCCCAGGCCUGACUCCCAAGUUGGAUCAGUACCACUGGAAGCUGCUAAUCCCUUUUCUCCCUUUGUUCUGAUGCUUUGGGUUCAUCUUGCUUUUCCUUUCCUUGUUUCUUGAAAAAAGAACUUAGAUUAUUGGUUCAAGAACUUAUUUUCUAAGCAUUUUAGGAUCUAAAUUUCCCUCCCAACUGCACCCUAGUCUUGUAUAUUCUCAUAAGUUUCCUUUGAAUUAUUAAGAAGUCUGUUGUUUAACUUCCAAGUAUUUGGGAGGUUUUCCUGUUUUAUUUCUGUUACUGAUUUCUUAUGUAUGGCCAGAGAACACAAUGCUUUUAGUUCUCCUUAAUGUUUUCAGGUUUAUGACUCUGGAUCUGGUUACCUUGGUGAAUGUUCUAUGUCACUUGCCCCCUUGUGGUUUAAUAUAUGUCUCCUCACUGACUUUCUAUCUAGUCAUUCUGUUCAUUCCUGAAAGUGGGAGUAUUGUUGAAUUCCCAACUAAAAUAAUAGAUAUGACAUUUCUGUGUUUUGCUAUUUCUUGUUUUAACUCGAUGCAUUUUGCUUCGUAUAUUAAGUAACCUCACUCCUAGACUAAAGGAAUUGUAAACUAAGUAAGCUAAAAUGAAACGCAAAUAGAUAACUAAAUGAAAUUAGGAAAAUACUACAUGAAGAGCGACAAUGAAAUAGAAACCAUAAAAGAAUUAGACUAAAGGAAUUGUGUUUGCUCUGAAGUUUUACUUUGUUUUAAAUUAAUACACCCAUUUCUGUUUUUUGUUCUUCAUUAAUGUUUGUAUGAUAUGCUGUUACCUAUCCUUUUCAAUCUACCUACAUCAUAUUUUGAGGUUUUUUUCCUCAUAUUUUUAUUGGUGCAUUAUAAUUGUACACAAUGGUGAGAUUUGUUGGUACAUAUUUCUACAUACACAAUAAAACAGCGUGGCCAGUAUCAUUCCCUUGUAUUUCCCCUUUUCCUCCUUUCCUUCUGUUCUACUGAUCUGCUUUUAAUUUCCAAGAGAUCCAUCUUGCCUACCAUUUGCUUUUUUCCUCUCUACUAUCCACAUACGAGAGAAAACAACCCUUGACCUGAGUUUAGCUUAGUUUGCUUAACAUAAUGUUCUCAAGUUUCAUCUGUUUUCCUACAAAUGACAUAAUUUCAUUUUUCUUUAUGGUUGAAUAAAGCUCCAUUUUGUAUGUAUACCACGUUUUCUUUAAUCCAUUCAUCCAUUGAUGACUGGUUCCAUAAUGUGGCUAUUGUGGAAUUUUGUUGCUAUAAAUGUGGGCG
Molecule: long non-coding RNA, 2731 nt
Filed under: Marmota monax (woodchuck)
Lineage: Eukaryota; Metazoa; Chordata; Mammalia; Rodentia; Sciuridae
Source: RNAcentral